GCAAGGGCUGUGCCGUCCGUAACGUUGUCCGGUUUG
RNAcentral lists this non-coding RNA (36 nucleotides) under Geobacter sulfurreducens PCA. The record is from RNAcentral. Lineage: Bacteria; Pseudomonadati; Thermodesulfobacteriota; Desulfuromonadia; Geobacterales; Geobacteraceae.